RNAcentral lists this long non-coding RNA (419 nucleotides) under Homo sapiens (human). RNAcentral's name for it is "HSALNT0080111". Lineage: Eukaryota; Metazoa; Chordata; Mammalia; Primates; Hominidae. The record is from RNAcentral.
CUCCAAAUUGGAAAGGUACUGCUUCACUUUUCGAGCCAUUUGGGCAUCUUCAUAAAGCUUUUUGGCAUUGAGAAAGGAACUACGACGUACCCGCUUUUUAUGACCACCUGUCUGAGCAACAUCUAGCACUGUUGCAUUUGUACUACCCUGGCUGAGAGACCUGGUAAAAAUCGAGUCAUUGCAGGAUCUCCUUCAAAGUCAUUGAAGUGAUUAUUUACCCACAAUAAUACUACCCGUGUAACCUGAGAAUACGGCAGUAAUCUUGCUGGGCUAUGCAGACAAACUGGAGUAGAUAUCAGAAAGACUGCUGCUCCCAGAAUCACUAGUGAUACUACAUCCUGAAUGGCUAGAAGAAACGUGGGUCACCUGUGGGUGGAGACUGUCAGUAAGAUGCAGUUUUGUGAAAUCUGCAGGAAGCU